CUUCUAUUUAAGUGGAACUCCCAUCGUUCAAUCUCUCUUAUCUUCUUCGCAGAUCUGAACUUAUCUGAACUCACUCAUCUUCCUUUUCUCUUCGUUUUUUCGGAUUUAAUCGUUGUUCUCAGGAGCAGCCCUCUUCGGCCCUAGUUUUUGCCCUAGUUUCCAUAAUUUGUUUGUGUUUUCCAUGGAGUUGUUCUGAAAUCAAUGCGUGUGAUGUGAUUUGAUGCUUCAUUAUCUGGUCGGUGUGGAUCUGAUUUGUUCCCACUCGACUCGUUCCCUUGAAGCAACAUCGACCGUGUUACUUUUUCACAAUCUCUCCCUUUGCUUUCUCUCAUAUAGCGUUCGGGAGAACACUGGAGUAGCUACAUCUUCAAUCAAAUCAACGUCUUCUUUUUUAUUCAAAUGCAUCGAAACGAUCUUGUUGAGCAACGGUGAUGAGCCUUUACAGACCUGUAAUGACUUGCGGAUGUGAUCGCAAUUUUUUAUGAACAUCUAAGGGACUGAGUUGCUUAGGUAUUUUUUUUCCCCUUUUCUUUUGAUUUCGAUUCAUCCUCGGGGAUUCGUUAGUGAUCUGGGAGCUUUUUGAAGAUGGAUUCGGGAUUGAUGUUGAUUCAGUUGUGAUUAUGAUGGAACAAAUGGGGAAUUUGGGCGUUCUUUUGAGAAGAUGAGCAGAUUUGAGAUGAUAAA
Molecule: non-coding RNA, 684 nt
Organism: Momordica charantia (bitter melon)
Lineage: Eukaryota; Viridiplantae; Streptophyta; Magnoliopsida; Cucurbitales; Cucurbitaceae
Source: RefSeq, a predicted model, not a curated record